AAAAGCAUUGAGUUAGGGGCUUGGGGUGUAGCUCAGUGGUCAAGCAUAUCAUGGGACUCAGGUUCAAUCAGUCCUGUGUGGGAGAGCACACUGUGGUCAUUGACAACUCAUCAUACUGAAGGGUUUGGGAGCACAGAAGAGAAACCAAGGUUAAAACCUUCCCGAAGCCAGAAAUAAUGGCGUACAACUCUAGCCCAGCAUUUGGAAGGCAGAGGGAGGAGGGUCAAGAGUUCAAGAUCAUCAGCUGCGUAGGGAGUUGGAGGCUACAGGACGUCUCAAAACAAAAGUCCACCAAACUAAAACCACCUGUAGGACUGGGACUGGGCCUCAGUUGACAGAGUCUAUCUGAUAUGCAUGAAACCUCAGGUUCAAUCCCUGACACUUAGUCAGGGCUGGUGGAAGGAACCUGCUUGAAAUAGAAGCUGCAGGGUGAGGCAGGAGGCCAUCCUUGGUCACCUGAUAAGAGGAGCCAGUGUGAGCCCCCAUGUCCCGCCUCUGUUUACAUGUUACAUGUUACUACAUGUGGGUGGCUUCUUAAGGUGAAAUUCUGUCUGGAGUCAUUUCAGUGGCUUGGCAAUGGUGAGCAAGCUAAAAAUAGAUUCCCUGAUUGGCCUCAACAUGCAUCUGUAGUUUUUCUUGAAAUAAACACCCAGCUCUUAAGAGGG
Molecule: long non-coding RNA, 665 nt
Filed under: Rattus norvegicus (Norway rat)
Lineage: Eukaryota; Metazoa; Chordata; Mammalia; Rodentia; Muridae
Description: long non-coding RNA NONRATT018025
Source: RNAcentral